CUCUGGGUGCUUUUCCCCCCUCUGUCAAUAAUCUAAACCCACAGGACAAGAACCAGAAUCUUUGAUGAGCCUGCUGUUCCUAGCACAUGCAAUGACUGGACUUCUGUGCACUGAAGUGAACUGGAAAUCCACAUAAAGUCCGAGUCUGCACAGUGGCCUUCUAGAAGCCAUGAGCAGACAGGAAGCCAGACGCUACAGAGAGUCCCAGGAGGUGGCUAGAGAUUGCCUCGCUCAACACAAGUAACAGGCUAUUUAUAACACAGCAGACUGAACCCAGCCCACAGUGGACUGCUGAUUCACGGCCAGCGCCUGACUGAGCUCCACGGUAAAUAUGAGGAAACAGUUUAUAUUCUCCAUUUCUGAAUCUCUUAGGCUCUUCGCCAAAAGAAAAUAAUUCUUCCGUAAGUAAAUCUCCGUGUAUCAAAGAUCUUUUUAGUAAUAUGAGUGUGAAGAAGAAAGGAAAUUGAUUUUGGUGAUGUGUAAAUCUAAGAUGCGAUAAUUACAACCAAUUGAAGUCCUGAAGCCAUCCUCUGGAAAUGGUCUUAGACUUAUAAUAGACUUUGUCUUGAUAAUAGAAAAGUAAUAAGAUCACACACUUCAUGCCAGGUACUGUGCUGGGCGUCUUCAUUGAGCCUGUAGUCUCUACAGAGUAAGCGUGGUUGUCCCCUUUUCACAGAAAAGGAAACCAAGGCACUGGACAUGCUUAUAGUAAUAUGUAUGGACUUAAAAUCAUGAUUCUAGAUUCUAGAUUCAAAAUACAAAGAAAAUACAAUGCAAUAGCAUUUGUAAAAUUAAAAGGCAUGCAUACCAUGGUGAUUUGAGUGAGAAUAGUCCCCUAAGGCUCACAUAUUUGAAUCUUUGGUCCCUAGUUGGUGGAACUUUCUCUGGAAGGAUUAGGAGGUCUGGCCUUAUUGGGGGAGGAGUGUCAUAGGGAGUAGGCUUUGAAGUUUCAAACCCACGAGGCUCAGUCUCUCUGCCUCAGACUUGAAGAUACGAUGUAGGGAUGUAGGUUCUCAGCUACUGCUGUAGUGCCAUACCUGCCUGUUGCCAUGCUCCCCUUGAUAACUGUGAUGGACUGAACCUCUGAAACUGUAAGCAAAUCCCCAGUUAAUGCUGUCUUUUAAGUUGCCUUGGUCAUGAUGUCUCUUCAUAGCAACAGAAAGUAACUAAGACAUACAUGUAUAAAACAAUCUGUGUUUUAUAAGAGUGCACACACACAAAGAACUGUUACCUUUGGGAAAUGAGGACAAAGGGAAACGAGAGAUAAUAAGAGAGGCCUGCACACAACAAUGAAGAGGGUGUGGCAAAAGUGAGUGGUUAGCGUCUCAGCCUGUUAGCCACUACUGGGGAGAUUUUUCCCCAAUCAGGGGAAACCUGAUGAUUGCCAGGAGAGCACAGGUGUGUAGUUCACACCUUUACAAGACUUCCUGAAGCACCGAUCAGCAUAUCUGAAGACUGUUCCAUUUCCUGGGAGAAAUCUUGUUAAAUAAUAACAACAAUACUCAUUUCCAUUGCUGGCCACUGAUUUGGCUUGUUGCUAAUUUCCAAUAAGGAGUUGCCUGAGGAAGAGCGUGCACACAAUAACUCUCUGACCAACUGUGAUAAAAAUCCACCUCAUCAAGCUCAGGUGAGUUCUCCAAAGCACCAGAAAGUGUCAGAGAUAUAUCAGGAAGGAGGAAAGAAUGGAACAUUGGGAGGGGGUUUCUAGUGUGUCACUGAGACACUCACUAUUUCCUCGGAGUCUCAGGAUUGGUUUUGAUUCCCUUCGAGUCAGCUGACUUACCUCAAUAGUUUUACAGGUGUCCUCCAGCUGGCUGAUCACACCCUGGACUCUGUCGUUGCUUCCCACAAGUACAGCAAUACCAUCACUGAGCUCUGACUAAUGAAGAGAAAACAAGACUCAAGAUAUUAGGGCUUUCCCAACCAUGGAUGGUUAUGGCCUGCUCACAGCAUCGCCCUCAAGGGGGGUUAAUCCCUAAGGAGUAAGCAAGCCUACAAACAAGCUCCAAGCUCAUGAAUUUCUCCUGAGACAUAUUCUUAUCAUGGAUGAAGAAGAGGAGGCUGCUCAUAAAGCUGCAUUUCCAGUUUAGGCUAGUAGGAUUGCUCAGUACUGCCCCUCCAGCCUCUGACCCCAGAAAAGAACUCUGAGGAUGAAGGUGGCCAAGGAAGGCCAGAAUUUUCUGUCAUUAUUAAUUAAGGUGUUAAUUAAGUACCUGUAAGAGGUAGGUGUGGGGUAUGACUCUUUAUACAAAACCCAGAAAAUAUAAUUAAUCCCAUCUAAAGACUGAGGCUGGGGCCAGUCAUGGGAAACCUGUGAGCCUCUUGAUAUUUCAAGCAAACUUUGAUAUAUACUUGGCUUUGGGAUGAGGCUCCAUAAUUUUCACAUUAUUGAUGGAGAACUGGAAUCUGUUAAAAAACACAAAGAAAACCUAAUUAUAAGCUUUCGAUAAUAGUGUAUUGAAGCUGGAGGUUUCUAAACAUUACAUAAGUAGAACAAUGUGACAGACACAAAUAUGUCAUUUGGAACUCAAAAUGAAUUGUUUGUCUAAUGCAGUUCAGGACUAGUUUUACUUGAGCAAUAAAUGCAGUAAAUAUUCA
Molecule: non-coding RNA, 2598 nt
Organism: Rattus norvegicus (Norway rat)
Lineage: Eukaryota; Metazoa; Chordata; Mammalia; Rodentia; Muridae
Source: RefSeq, a predicted model, not a curated record